Non-coding RNA from Pelobates cultripes (western spadefoot toad), 94 nucleotides. NCBI's taxonomy places the organism in Eukaryota, Metazoa, Chordata, Amphibia, Anura, Pelobatidae. The record is from the annotation of a GenBank genome assembly.
GUGUAUGUAUGUGUUUGUGUGUGUAUAUAUAUAUAUAUAUAUAGACAUAUAUAUAUAUAUAUAUACAUGCACACAUACAUAUACAUGCGGCGUG